GAUUUUUUGUUUAAGUUCUUGGUUAUUGGAAAUGCAGGAACUGGCAAAUCUUGCUUACUUCAUCAGUUUAUUGAAAAAAAAUUCAAAGAUGACUCAAAUCAUACAAUAGGAGUGGAAUUUGGUUCAAAGAUAAUAAAUGUUGGUGGUAAAUAUGUAAAGUUACAAAUAUGGGAUACAGCAGGACAAGAACGAUUCAGAAACUUCAUUUUUGGAAACUUUGAUUGACAAGACAGCUAAAAUUCAGAUUAGCUCUCUGCAGCAUGGAUUACUAAAGAAUACAGGAGGAUCUCUGGGCAACUGCAUUAUAACUCGGAGGCUGACCCAUUCUCAGGAGGAUGUGGCACUGUGUAUUGUACAGUAUGUUUCUAGAUUCAAAUCAAAGCACAAGCUUGUUUUUCUGUGUUCCUUUAAAGAAGAACUUUUUAAAA
RNAcentral lists this small RNA (428 nucleotides) under Pongo abelii (Sumatran orangutan). Its description in RNAcentral is "processed transcript". The record is from RNAcentral. Lineage: Eukaryota; Metazoa; Chordata; Mammalia; Primates; Hominidae.